RNAcentral lists this ribosomal RNA (250 nucleotides) under uncultured bacterium. Its description in RNAcentral is "partial 16S ribosomal RNA". It matches the Rfam family "Bacterial small subunit ribosomal RNA", at positions 524 to 773 of the family's 1533-position model. The record is from RNAcentral.
UACGUAGGCAGCAAGCGUUGUUCGGAGUUACUGGGCGUAAAGGGUGCGUAGGCGGUUCUCUAAGUUUGGUGUGAAAUCUCCCGGCUCAACUGGGAGGGUGCGCCGAAAACUGGGGAGCUAGAGUGUGGGAGAGGUGAGUGGAAUUCCUGGUGUAGCGGUGAAAUGCGUAGAUAUCAGGAGGAACACCGGUGGUGUAGACGGCUCACUGGACCAUUACUGACGCUGAGGCACGAAAGCGUGGGUAGCAAAC